AACGCACAUUGCGCCCCUUGGUAUUCCGGGUGGCAUGCCUGUUCGAGCGUCAUUUCAACCCUCAAGCACAGCUUGGUCUUGGGCCCUGCCGGCAACGGCUGGCCUUAAAAACAGUGGCGGCGCCAUCGAGCUCUACGCGUAGUAAUUAUACCCUCGCGUGUGAGUCCCGGUGGAUGCUGGCCAGCAACCCCCAAUUUUCUAUGGUUGACCUCGAAUCAGGUAGGGAUACCCGCUGAACUUAA
This 242-nucleotide unclassified non-coding RNA is filed under the name uncultured Calycellina. Its description in RNAcentral is "partial contains 5.8S ribosomal RNA, internal transcribed spacer 2, and large subunit ribosomal RNA". Lineage: Eukaryota; Fungi; Ascomycota; Leotiomycetes; Helotiales; Hyaloscyphaceae. The record is from RNAcentral.